GCGGGGUGAGGUAGUAGGUUGUGUGGUUUCCGGGCAGUGAUGCCGCCCCUCGGAAGAUAACUAUACAACCUACUGCCUUCCCCGA
This 85-nucleotide microRNA precursor is filed under the name Cavia porcellus (domestic guinea pig). RNAcentral describes it as "miRNA (ENSCPOG00000025033.2)". It matches the Rfam family "let-7 microRNA precursor family". Rfam says of the family: This family represents the microRNAs (miRNA) let-7 and mir-98. let-7 was identified from a study of developmental timing in C. elegans, and was later shown to be part of a much larger class of non-coding RNAs termed miRNAs. The extents of the hairpin precursors are not generally known and are estimated based on hairpin prediction. The products are thought to have regulatory roles through complementarity to mRNA. RNAcentral also lists the same sequence under 1 other name. Lineage: Eukaryota; Metazoa; Chordata; Mammalia; Rodentia; Caviidae. The record is from Rfam by way of RNAcentral.